UGAGCAAUCUGCCCUUCACAUCGGAAUAACCAUUGGAAACGAUGGCUAAUACCGAAUAUGACUUCGGAUCGCAUGAUCUGAAGUGGAAAGCUCCGGCGGUGAAGGAUGAGCUCGCGGCCUAUCAGCUUGUUGGUGGGGUAAUGGCUCACCAAGGCUACGAUCUUUAGCUGGUCUGAGAGGAUGAUCAGCCACACUGGGA
Molecule: ribosomal RNA, 199 nt
Filed under: uncultured bacterium
Lineage: Bacteria
Description: partial 16S ribosomal RNA
Rfam family: Bacterial small subunit ribosomal RNA
Source: RNAcentral